GGGGGUUAGUGGUGGGAUUUAGAAAUUUACUAAAGUGAAGCAAGCAUCUAGGCUUUAUCACCAAACUAAUUUACUCAUAUUAAAAAUCUUCACUAUGUGACUAAUAUAAGAAGUUAGGGUUCGAACAUAGAGGUGCUAUACUUUGCUAAAAGAGGACUCUAGUCUCGUACUUCUGCUAACGCAGAGUUCAUAUCUUAUUACUUACUAGACUACAAAAAAACUGGUUCAUAUCGAACUUAAAAAUCUCAAUCUUACUGAUCUGAAAAUUCAGAUGGCUAAAUAUCAACUAAGUUCGAAAAUUCUUGAACAGUAUUUAUGAUUUGGU
Molecule: long non-coding RNA, 325 nt
Filed under: Brassica napus (rape)
Lineage: Eukaryota; Viridiplantae; Streptophyta; Magnoliopsida; Brassicales; Brassicaceae
Description: long non-coding RNA (BNAP_LNC007348)
Source: RNAcentral